AAUGGAGCUCCCUUCACUUGCAGAGCUUCCUCUCUGGCCACCCCUAGGUCGACCUGAUUUUCUUCCAUCUUGAGGCCCAGACUGUGGAGGAAUGGCUCCUCCCAAGCCCACCCCACAUUCUGACCCUAGCUCACCUGUCUCAGGUUACCACAGUGGAGCUGGCUACAGCCCUGAUGGGGUAGAGCCCAUCAGCCCCGUGAGCUCGCCCAGCCUGACCCACGACAAGGGGCUCUCCAAGCCUCUGGAAGAGCUAGAGAAGAGCCACUUGGAGGGGGAGCUGCGGCACAA
This 288-nucleotide long non-coding RNA is filed under the name Rattus norvegicus (Norway rat). RNAcentral's name for it is "long non-coding RNA NONRATT007467". Lineage: Eukaryota; Metazoa; Chordata; Mammalia; Rodentia; Muridae. The record is from RNAcentral.